UACGAAGGGUGCAAGCGUUACUCGGAAUUACUGGGCGUAAAGCGUGCGUAGGUGGUGCGUUAAGUCUGUCGUGAAAGCCCCGGGCUCAACCUGGGAAUGGCGAUGGAUACUGGCGCGCUAGAGUGCGGUAGAGGAGAGUGGAAUUCCUGGUGUAGCGGUGAAAUGCGCAGAUAUCAGGAGGAACACCGAUGGCGAAGGCAGCUCGCUGGGACGGUACUGACGCUGAGGCGCGAAAGCGUGGGGAGCAAACAGG
RNAcentral lists this ribosomal RNA (253 nucleotides) under uncultured bacterium. RNAcentral describes it as "partial 16S ribosomal RNA". It matches the Rfam family "Bacterial small subunit ribosomal RNA", at positions 524 to 776 of the family's 1533-position model. The record is from RNAcentral.